RNAcentral lists this ribosomal RNA (468 nucleotides) under uncultured bacterium. Its description in RNAcentral is "bacterial SSU rRNA". It matches the Rfam family "Bacterial small subunit ribosomal RNA", at positions 330 to 795 of the family's 1533-position model. The record is from RNAcentral.
GCCAGACUCCUACGGGAGGCAGCAGUGAGGAAUAUUGGUCAAUGGGCGCGAGCCUGAACCAGCCAAGUCGCGUGAGGGAGGACGGCCCUACGGGUUGUAAACCUCUUUUGCCGGGGAGCAACGGGCGUCACGUGUGGCGCCACUGAGAGUACCCGGAGAAAAAGCAUCGGCUAACUCCGUGCCAGCAGCCGCGGUAAUACGGAGGAUGCGAGCGUUAUCCGGAUUUAUUGGGUUUAAAGGGUGCGUAGGCGGAUUUUUAAGUCAGCGGUAAAAUGUCCGGGCUCAACCCGGGCCGGCCGUUGAAACUGGGGGUCUUGAGUGGGCGAGAAGUAUGCGGAAUGCGUGGUGUAGCGGUGAAAUGCAUAGAUAUCACGCAGAACUCCGAUUGCGAAGGCAGCAUACCGGCGCCCGACUGACGCUGAGGCACGAAAGCGUGGGGAUCGAACAGGAUUAGAUACCCCCGUAGGU